Non-coding RNA from Dallia pectoralis (Alaska blackfish), 88 nucleotides. Lineage: Eukaryota; Metazoa; Chordata; Actinopteri; Esociformes; Umbridae. The record is from the annotation of a GenBank genome assembly.
GGCGCUGUGGCUUAGUUGGUUAAAGACUGUUAAACAGGAGACUGUCUAGUAAACAGGAAGAUCCUAAAUUCGAAUCUUAGCAGUGCCU